UACGGGGGGGGCAAGCGUUGUUCGGAAUUACUGGGCGUAAAGGGCUCGUAGGUGGCCAACUAAGUCGGACGUGAAAUCCCUCGGCUUAACCGGGGAACUGCGUCCGAAACUGCUGUGCUUGAGUGUGGGAGAGGCGCGUGGAAUUGCAGGUGUAGCGGUGAAAUGCGUAGAUAUCUGCAGGAACACCCGUGGCGAAGGCGGCUUGCUGGGCCAGUUCUGACGCUGAGGAGCGAAAGCGUGGGGAGCGAACAGG
Molecule: ribosomal RNA, 253 nt
Filed under: uncultured bacterium
Lineage: Bacteria
Description: partial 16S ribosomal RNA
Rfam family: Bacterial small subunit ribosomal RNA
Source: RNAcentral